CAAGAGCGUAUAUUAAAGUUGCUGCGGUUAAAAAGCUCGUAGUUGGAUUUCAGUCUAGGGAGGUUAACUCGCCGAAAGGUUGUACGUUGAUUUUCCUCAGACUUCGUCAGAAGCUCGUGCUGCACUUAACUGUGUGGUACGAUGUUCUGACCUUUUACCUUGAGGAAAGUAGAGUGUUUCAGGCAGGCUACCCAGCUUGAAUACAUUAGCAUGGAAUAAUGAAAUGGAUCUCGGUUCGAUUUCGUUGGUUCUAGAGCUGAGGUGAUGAUCAAUAGGAACAGGCGAAGGUAUUCGUACUUGAGAGUGAGGAGUGAAAUCCGAUGAUCUCUUAAAGACGAUCCGAGGCGAAAGCAUUUGUCAAGGAUGUUUUCAUUGA
RNAcentral lists this ribosomal RNA (376 nucleotides) under uncultured eukaryote. RNAcentral describes it as "partial 18S ribosomal RNA". It matches the Rfam family "Eukaryotic small subunit ribosomal RNA", at positions 592 to 976 of the family's 1831-position model. The record is from RNAcentral.